Molecule: microRNA precursor, 98 nt
Filed under: Marmota monax (woodchuck)
Lineage: Eukaryota; Metazoa; Chordata; Mammalia; Rodentia; Sciuridae
Source: RNAcentral
AGUGGGAAAGCUGGGUCAUAUGGUGGUUCUUAGUUGUUCAAGGAAUUGCCACACUGUUUUCCAAAGUGGUUGCACCAAUUUGCAGUCCCACCAGCAAU